Long non-coding RNA from Carassius auratus (goldfish), 190 nucleotides. RefSeq lists it as uncharacterized. The record is from RefSeq and is a predicted model, not a curated record. NCBI's taxonomy places the organism in Eukaryota, Metazoa, Chordata, Actinopteri, Cypriniformes, Cyprinidae. The transcript is spliced from 3 exons.
UGUGACUGUGGCAUUACAGAUGUUUAUUCUUUAACUCAGUCUUUGACAAACACAAAAGCUCUGCAGUUUCUAAAACAGCUUCAUCUGAGAGAGAAUAAGAUUGAAGACUCAAAGCAGAAGCUCAUUGAUGUGCUACGAGACUCAAACUGUAAACUGAGUGUAGAUCCAUCACCAAAAGAUGAUAAAUGCU